CCCAACACAUGCAAGUCGAACGCACUCUUCGGAGUGAGUGGCAGACGGGUGAGUAACACGUGGGAACGUACCCUUCGGUACGGAAUAACUCAGGGAAACUUGAGCUAAUACCGUAUACGUCCGAGAGGAGAAAGAUUUAUCGCCGAUGGAUCGGCCCGCGUCUGAUUAGCUUGUUGGUGAGGUAAUGGCUCACCAAGGCAACGAUCAGUAGCUGGUCUGAGAGGAUGAUCAGCCACAUUGGGACUGAGACACGGCCCAAACUCC
RNAcentral lists this ribosomal RNA (264 nucleotides) under unidentified marine bacterioplankton. RNAcentral's name for it is "partial 16S ribosomal RNA". It matches the Rfam family "Bacterial small subunit ribosomal RNA", at positions 50 to 339 of the family's 1533-position model. RNAcentral also lists the same sequence under 1 other name. The record is from RNAcentral.